UGUUUAUUGUUGGCAAGAUUAUGGCGAAGCUGAAUAAACCACAAAGUGUUUCAGCUUCCCCUGAUACUGCCAACAAACAUGGC
Non-coding RNA from Schistosoma mansoni, 83 nucleotides. The record is from Rfam. NCBI's taxonomy places the organism in Eukaryota, Metazoa, Platyhelminthes, Trematoda, Strigeidida, Schistosomatidae.